Non-coding RNA from Pogona vitticeps (central bearded dragon), 614 nucleotides. The record is from RefSeq and is a predicted model, not a curated record. NCBI's taxonomy places the organism in Eukaryota, Metazoa, Chordata, Lepidosauria, Squamata, Agamidae.
ACCCCACCCCAAUGGCUGCUUCUCGGUGGGUCCCCAAGGAGCCAGGAGGGGAAAGACCCUCGGAGGGUUUGCAGGGCCUCUGAAGAGUUGCAGAAGAAACCCUCAGAAGGGGAAGGUGGACUUGGAAGAAGAUGGGGAGGGAAAGAAGAACAAAAAACACGCCUGCAAGAGGUGUUUUUUGUUUUUUAAAGGUUGCAAAGUGGGAUGGAGGUGGGACCUAACAUGGGUGAAGCUGUCCUUCAACGAUGCCUUCUUUAGGUUGGAAUGCGUAGAACCAAAUGUGGAACCUUUCAGCACAUGUGGUGGACUCGUGAAACCAGGAGGAAGGACUGAUCGAUGAUUUUUUUACAGAGCUUUCGGAAAUGAUGGGUUGGGCUUAAAAGCAGGUGACUCCUGUCUCGGGCGUCUCCUCCGACGGAUCUUCUUCUGCCAUGAGAUGCCCCUCAGGGUUUGUGGCCCUUGUUCUUCUAACCAUCAUCAUCCUCAGCUAUACUCUCCAGAGAGUUGAGAUCAAGGGUGUUUUUAAUGGAGAUGACUGCAAAAUGAUUAACUCUGGCCAAACAGAAAUUGCACAAAGCUGGUCCGUGGGUGUGUUGUGACAGGGGAUGGCUACA